RNAcentral lists this ribosomal RNA (468 nucleotides) under uncultured bacterium. RNAcentral describes it as "partial 16S ribosomal RNA". It matches the Rfam family "Bacterial small subunit ribosomal RNA", at positions 28 to 507 of the family's 1533-position model. The record is from RNAcentral.
GACGAACGCUGGCGGCGUGCUUAACACAUGCAAGUCGAACGGAAAGGCCCUGCUUUUGUGGGGUGCUAGAGUGGCGAACGGGUGAGUAACACGUGAGUAACCUGCCCUUGAUUUUGGGAUAACUUAAGGUAACUGGGGAUAAUACCGGCUAGGAGCGCCCGCAGCAUGGCGGGGGUUGGAAAGUUUCGGCGGUUGGGGUUGGACGCGCGGCUUUUCAGCUUGUUGGUGGGGUAGUGGAUUACCAAGGCUUUGACGGGUCGCCGGCCUGAGAGGGUGACCGGCCACAUAGGGACUGAGGUACGACCCAGACUCCUACGUGAGGCAGCGGUGGGGAAUAGUGCGCAAUAGGCGGAGGCCUGAUGCAGCGACUCCGCGUUCGAAAUGACGGCCUUCGGGGUGUAAACCGCUUUCGGCUAAUACGAAGCGUGAGUGACGGUAAUGGGUAAAGAAGCACCGGCUAACUACGUG